AGGCGGGCGUGCUUACCUGCAAGUCGACGAUGAAGGGAUUAGUGGCGAACGGGUGAGUAACACGUGGGCAAUCUGCCCUGCACUCUGGGACAAGCCCUGGAAACGGGGUCUAAUACCGGAUACUGACCUACUUGGGCAUCCAAGUGGUUCGAAAGCUCCGGCGGUGCAGGAUGAGCCCGCGGCCUAUCAGCUUGUUGGUGAGGUAAUGGCUCACCAAGGCGACGACGGGUAGCCGGCCUGAGAGGGCGACCGGCCACACUGGGACUGAGACACGGCCCAGACUCCUACGGGAGGCAGCAGUGGGGAAUAUUGCACAAUGGGCGAAAGCCUGAUGCAGCGACGCCGCGUGAGGGAUGACGGCCUUCGGGUUGUAAACCUCUUUCAGCAGGGAAGAAGCGAAAGUGACGGUACCUGCAGAAGAAGCGCCGGCUAACUACGUGCCAGCAGCCGCGGUAAUACGUAGGGCGCAAGCGUUGUCCGGAAUUAUUGGGCGUAAAGAGCUCGUAGGCGGCUUGUCACGUCGGUUGUGAAAGCCCGGGGCUUAACCCCGGGUCUGCAGUCGAUACGGGCAGGCUAGAGUUCGGUAGGGGAGAUCGGAAUUCCUGGUGUAGCGGUGAAAUGCGCAGAUAUCAGGAGGAACACCGGUGGCGAAGGCGGAUCUCUGGGCCGAUACUGACGCUGAGGAGCGAAAGCGUGGGGAGCGAACAGGAUUAGAUACCCUGGUAGUCCACGCCGUAAACGGUGGGCACUAGGUGUGGGCAACAUUCCACGUUGUCCGUGCCGCAGCUA
RNAcentral lists this ribosomal RNA (789 nucleotides) under Streptomyces viridochromogenes. RNAcentral's name for it is "bacterial SSU rRNA". It matches the Rfam family "Bacterial small subunit ribosomal RNA", at positions 37 to 854 of the family's 1533-position model. Lineage: Bacteria; Bacillati; Actinomycetota; Actinomycetes; Kitasatosporales; Streptomycetaceae. The record is from RNAcentral.